CCUAACAACACACAACAUUCCAGGAAUGUACUACCAAAGUUCUAUCAAUAUUUGAAUGUCCUGGACAUUUAGGGAACAUUCGGUGAACAUCUGAUUAAAUUAUUCGUGGAAUGUUACCAUAAGACAUUCUGUGAACAUACUACCAAUGUUCCUGUUCAUUUUCAAAUUCACGGCGCAUGUAUUUGUGCAUGGUGCUUAGAGAGGGCAUCACGUGACUAAAAACGACCAAUGACCUCACUUCAGACUUCGGUUCGGCCAUCUUGACAUGCAUCUUGCCUUGGCCACCUUGCCGUGCGUGAUCGUUGUUUGUUUUUAUUUGUGCUUUUUAAGAAUAUUUUUUAAUUCGGAUACUUUUAUAAUAACUUUAAUAGUAUUAUUAAUAUAGUGCAUAAAAUCAGUUGGAGUAGCAGAAGCAAUGUAGAUAAAAAAUCUGCAGGAAUAAUGUUUCAAAGGUUAGUAUAUUAUGCAAAUAUGUAAACAAAGGCAUGCCCCUAUUUCAGAAAAUAUCCAUUUAUUAUUUUAAUAAUUGCGAAUAAGCCACAAACUUGCUUAUUCCUAAUUAAAAUAGUAAAUAGAGAUAAUAACAAACGGAUUAUUUGUAAAAUUAAAUUUUUUUUUGCGUUUUUGCUAAUGUAUGCGUUUAUAAACAGGAUGGUAGACCACACACUAUAAUAGUACCAACUAAUGAAUACACAGUAUGAAUAGUACAGUCGGUUCGCUAAACUUAGUCUCAGACACAACUGGCUAGUGAUUUUAGUAAAUAAUUUUGACAAUUUGGUAAAAUUGGCAAAAAAAUAACUAAAUAGUUAGUAAUUUUGGCAAAAAUGGCCAAAAACAAAAAAAUUACCUACUAAAAUCACUAGCCAGUUGUGGCUAGGGAAACGACUAUACUAAUAAACAAUUUCUAAGCUGCUUUUUAUAAUAUUUUCUUUCCAGAAGAUCCUGCGAAGAAGGCAUGAAGUAUUGAUCAGAUUUGUUAAUAGAGCAGUAUGUUCAAAACAUUUUUUAGAAAAAGAUAUUGACAGAACUUCACUUUCAACCGUUUGAGAGACUGUGCUGUUCCAAUAGCUUAUAUCACACAGAAUCAGCUGAGAGAAGUGGUCUACAAAAAACCAGGAAGGAAAUGGAAUAUGUGGCUAUGAAAGGCAAAAGAAAGGUUUACAAAGCAAAUGUGACACAUUUUUUUAUAGGAAUAUCAGUAAAUUACAUUAAAAAAAUGUAUGAAAAGAUUUUUUGCAAUAAAAAUGUUUAUAUUUAUCAA
Long non-coding RNA from Diabrotica virgifera virgifera (western corn rootworm), 1261 nucleotides. RefSeq lists it as uncharacterized. The transcript is spliced from 3 exons. NCBI's taxonomy places the organism in Eukaryota, Metazoa, Arthropoda, Insecta, Coleoptera, Chrysomelidae. The record is from RefSeq and is a predicted model, not a curated record.